ACAAAAAAUCAAUCUUUAUACUGCUAUUUACACUUCAAACUAAUUUCACGAAUAUUAUUAUUUUAACCAAUGAUUAAAUGGAUGUGGUAUAUAUCAAUUUUCACUUCAAUCAAGAAUCACAUGAUUAACACAAAAAUACAUAGAACAAGGAGCCAAAGAAAUAGUUUCUGCACACACUUAAGAACUCACGAAAAACUAUAAAAACAAUAAAAAGAAAACUCAACCGUCGACUUCAAGGUAAAAGAAGCAAAAUCAAGAAGUGCGCCGACGAUGGACGCCGUGAUGUUCCUGUUAGUAAUUUUGUUCUUGUGGCAGAAUAAAAGCACCAAAAAUUGAGUCUGCAAGUUUGGAAAGAAGGAGAAGAACAAAACACUGACGGAAGAGUAAGAUUGGUGAUGGAUAUCCCUAGCCAAAUCCUGUGAUACGAACGAAAUCCCCAUUUUUCGGUGAAGAUAGAAAAUUUUCGAAAGAGAAGGGAGAUGAUCCGAAUUGCUGAAGGAAAGUAGAAGAAAAGGUUUGACGGCUGGAACAAGCCGAGCCGAUUCAGCGAAUUUAAGCAAUUAAUUUUGGAUUAUGAGUGUAAUACAAAACGAUGUAGUUUUAUGAAUGGGACAUGGGGUGGGACAGAGGAUCCGAAGUGAUAAAAUGGGACACCUUUUUCCAUUCACAUACAUUCCCCUAAUAUUUUUUAAAAUGCGUACCACCAAAAGUAUCACAUAUUUUUUAGAUACAAAAGAAGUACUCCGUCAGAUACAAAAGGAGUAUAUGAUUACCGGUUUGGGACUGACCUACAUAUUUGAGCUUCUAAAAAAAAUGGCCUUCACUAUUCGCUAGAUCAAAAGUUGGAUCAAACUGAUCCGUCAGAUCAUACUAUAUUUGGUAGUUCUUAUAUAUAAUAUGUANAAAGCAGCCGGACACGUGGCGAUCGCCGGCUCCUGCACAAAAUUUCCUCCUCUGGCGACGGUUUCCGCCAGGGUCGCCACUAACGCUGAAUACUCGGCGAGCUCCACGCGGGGGCCAAAAGAUCGCCGUGCUCUUCACCAUAUUUCUUCUUCGGGUGGCGGUCGCCGCAAAGGUCACUGGCGAUCUGCUACCCCUCUAUUUCUUCAACUUUUCGAGCUCAUUUCCUCGAUUCUCACACCCAGAACACUCGACACUUGGAUAUUCAUUAUCCAUAUUUAGAUUUCAAAACAUUCAAACCUAUAACAAAAUAGCUAAAAUCAUACCCAAACGUAAUAUCACAAAAGAAUAUGAAACUUAAAUCAAAUGAUAUCACAAUCAAGCAUAAUCCUAGCACUAUAAGUACUAAAAUACUCAUAAAAACAAUGCAAAAUGAGUGUUUAUCACACACCGGAGCUUUCGCUUGAAAGGAUGAGCUGUUUGCGCGGAGGACAAGCUCCAGACGGGAAGAAGGUGCGGCGUCCUCCAAGCGGCGGUGAUUCGGAAAUGAGAGGAGGACAACGGCGCCGCUCGCCGGUCCGCCGCGGCGGCAGCGGAUUGGAACAUAGAGGCGAGAUUCGAACAGUCUGGAAGCGGCGGUGUAGUUUUAAUCACGAUUUUUCCCUUUUUGUUUUUUUAAUAUAUACUCACUCAAAACGACAUUCUGAAAAUUCCGCGUGUGCAAUUUACAAUUAAAUUAAAAGAUGAUGUAUUUUGGAGCUAAUUUUAAAGGUGAUGUACAAUAUGGAAAUUCGGUGAUAGUUCGUGUAUUUUCCGGCUAUUAACCCUAUAAAUUAUACAAUAAAAUAUCCAAUUAUUAUUAUUAUUAUUAUUAUUAUUAUUAUUAUUAUUAUUAUUAUUAUUAUUAUUAUUAUUAUUAUUAUUAUUAUUAUUAUUAUUAUUAUUAUUAUUAUUAUUAUUAUUAUUAUUAUUAUUAUUAUUAUUAUUAUUAUUAUUAUUAUUAUUAUUAUUACAGAACUAUGGGAUGUUCGUCACUCCCAAUUGAUUUCUCUUUCUUGCGCACAGGAAGCCCCACGUCUAUCCCCUGCCUUCGUUUCCGGCAUUUCAUCAAACAAUAUUGGGUUCAAUUUUUUCUUCUCCCCAUUAAUGAAAAUAAGGGGAUGUCUUGCUUCUAACUAACAUGCUCUAACUAAUUACAAUAACAUAAACUGAUACAAUAACAAAAAAUGAUUUGCACUAUACUCUAAGGGUACGUUUACGUUGGAGGAUUAGCCAUGAUAGAUAAAAAUAGUAAGGUUAAUCAUUUGUUUAUUUUGAUGGAUUGAAACUUUGUGAUAUUCAAGGUCCGUGAUAAUUUAUACUCCCUCCGGCCCUGAAAUAAGUUCCUCUUUUUCCUUUUUGGGACGUCCCCCAAAUAAGUUUCUCUUUCUUUCUUUCCAUUUUUGGACAACUACCUCACUACUAAUAAUACUUUAUUUAUUCUUACUUUUCACUUUUUCACCACUCCCAAUACUAAUUAUAACACUUUUUCAUCUUUUCACCACUCUCAAUACUAAUUAUAACAUAUUUUUCUUCACUAUCAAUACACUUUACCAUUUUUCCUUAAAACCCGUGUCGUCCCCAAAGAGGAACUUAUUUUGGGGACGGAGGGAGUAUCAUUUAAGCUAGUUUGGAUUGAUUUCUAUCUCAUUUAAUCUAGUUUGGCUUGAUUUUUCCCCGACACAGUGAAGUUUUUGAAAUUGCUUCUUUUUGUAUGAAGAAGAAUUUACAACGUGACACCUUUGUUUCUAAGAUCACACGUUUUUGUAGGAUAAGGAAGGAUCUAGAGUGAUCGAGGGUGUAUCAACAGGACCACAUUUUGUAUUAUUGUAAAAAUUGAAUUCCUUUCGCAGAAUAGUAAUUUUAAUGAAUCGCUUACUAAAAUAGUCUUUUAGUAUUUUCAUAAAUAAUUUAAUGUAGAAGUUUGGGAAAGAGAUUAAUUAUAUAUAUAGAUCUCUUAGACUCACGUAGAACUAUAGAUCACUUAAAAUUGCACAAUGUUAAAUGCAAAAAAUGUAAUGUUGUGUGUAUUUGAGUAUGCUCUCACGCGAUCUUUAAAAUUAUUUGUUCAUUUAAAAAAAAAUUGAACACAAAUUAAGUACAUAUAUGAUUUCAAAUGCGCAUAAAUGCAUUAACUCAAACACAUCACAACAUUAUGUAUAUAUGUUGCAUUAUAAAAAAAAAUGCAUGAUUAUAUAUACAUGUAUAUUUAUAAUGCAUUACUAAAUACACAAAAAUGCAUCUAUACAAUGGUAAUACAUGUAAAUUGAGGAUCUACCCAAUCCUUAUCCUAUAAAUUUGUGAAUCAAAUUUCACGAAACCUAACCCCACAAUUAUUUGCGAAUUUCCUCGUCACAUGGUGAUGGUCCCAACUCCUCGUGGUCCCCUUUUGCAUAAUUAAAGGUCAAGAAAAUAUAAAAGAGUCCAAACUUUAUACGCUUCAUAAAUGGCACGUUUUUUAUUUUAGAAAUAAAGGGCUUUAAUUGGGAUAUUCUAUGUUGUAAACAAUUGAUUAACCUAAACCUUCUUUAUUUAUCUAAACAAAUCAUAAAUAGUAAAUACUCCCUAUACUUAUAUUUUUGCCACCAAUUAUUUAAAUUUUUCUCUAUGCCCAAAAUGGUAAGUAAACGGAAAUGGACGGAUCAGUAGAAAUUUUCCCCUUCUCUUUUUGAUAAAUUAUUGCACUUUUUACUCUAUUAAUGAAAGUAAGGGGUUGUCGGCAAAUGAUGUAUGUUCAAUAACUAAAUGAUAUUGUAUGGUUUCACAUAGUGUUAAGAGUUGUUUUAACUCUAAUAAUUAUACUAUAUUUUUUGAAUAAAUCCUUGUUUUAUCUUCUUCAUUAAUUAAUUUUAUAAGAGAAUUAAUAUCUCUAUAUUUUCGGUUUGCUUUCUGUUUGUAUCUCAGCAGUGUAUAUAUAGCUAGCUUUUCCUUUGAUGUAAAUCAGUUGAAUUCAUACAGAGAAAUGAAAUAUUACCUCCUUUCUCUCUCAUCACAACUACCCUAUCUUAUCUCAAUAAUUGUUCAUUGUCAUGAGUUUUUGAAUUAAAUUCUUUCUCGAUAUUUGUGCACGUAGGACCAUCAACUAAUAAUGAAGUAGGAGAAUUAAAUAUCAGCAGGACCACAUUUUCUAGAUCGUUUAUUGUCACAUGCUAUAAAACAGGAGCCAUACAUAUAUAAUCCGUAUGUACCACAUUUUCUAGAAAAUAAAUGCUCACUUUAAAUAUCAACUGGACCGCAUUUGCUCACUUGAUAUUUUCUUCACAUGCCAUAAAACAGGAGCCAUGCAUAAUUGGAGUAGGACCCAUGCUAUUUGUAAAAUGUACCAUAAAAUAUACUCCCUCCGUCCCAGCUGAAAUAUCAUGUUUUCCUUUUUGGGUUGUCCCACUUGAAAUGUCAUGUUUCCUUUUUUGGCAAUACACUCUCUCUCUCUAUACUUAAUAUUUAAAUAAUUUCCACCAACCCACUUUAUCUACUUUAUACACAUUUCUUAAUCUCCGUGCCGAAAAGAAACAAGACAUUUUAGCUGGGACGAAGGGAGUAAAUGAUUAGCUUCAGGGACGUUUGAGGGUAGGUGUCGAAAGCUUAUCUGAUACGACUCGAUAUGCAAACAAGUUGUUUGACAAAAUGCCUGAGCCAAAAUUGUAUGGUAAAGACUAAUGAGUGCUAGAAUCCCAUGUUCUCUAGGUUGGGAAAAAAAGGUUUAUCUCACCUUUUAUAAUUUGUAGAUGGGAAAAUAUUAACAUAUCAAUACCUUACAAAUUGUACUUUUAUUCCAUUUUUUAACUAAUAAUGUACUUUUAAUCUACUUUUUUGUACUAACACAACCCUUACAAAUUGUACAUUUAUCAAGAAUCUUUUGUAUGUUACAUAAGUAUGGAACAUGAAUUUGGAUUCAAAUAUUUGACCAAUCUUAUGAGAAAACAGACUUAAAGGGAAUUCUCUGAUUUAUUAUCUCUGAUACUAUUUUUUUUUUUAAGAAACUAUUAUAUUUUUAAAAGAGGAUCAAUAAUGACUUUUAAUAAUAUUCUUUCCAUAUGUUUUUACUUGCAAUUUCUAAAAAGAGAGAGAUAUUGUCAAAGGUGAUAUGGAAUUUAUAGAAGUGGUAUAUAUGUAAUAAAAUAUGAUGAUUAAAUAAUAUUUUCAUUCAUGCAUUAUACUAGUAUAAAUAGGAGAAGAGUUGACACCGACACACCAUCACUCACAACUCGAUCAAUUAAGCCAUGGCCAACCUUCCCCAAACCCUACUCUCCAUAGCCCUUCUCCUUGCCGCCGCUGCCAACACGGCGUGGUCCCAAACAACGUCCUUCACCUACGACUUCUGGGGCGACCAGCCGACCGAUCUCAUCUAUCAAGGCUCCGCCCAUUUCCCGUCCGACUCCACCUUCCUCCGCCUCACCGACUUCGAAACAUACCAGGUCGGCCGGGUCUUGUACUCGAAGCCGGUCCAGUUCUCCCAAGCCGGUGGCCAAGUCGACUUUGAAACCACCAUUAACUUCAUCAUCACACCCACUCCCGAGGACAAAACCGCUGACGGCCUCGCCUUCUUCAUGGGCCCAGUCGGCACCACCAUCCCCAGUGGCGCUGUUGGGGCCAACCUCGGAAUUUUCGGCUCCAACGGCAACAGCCCCUCGGUCUUCGCCGUCGAGUUCGACACCUUCAUCAACAGCCCGUGGGAUCCGAACUAUCCCCACAUCGGCAUCGACCUCGGAUCUAGGGAAUCCAGCAACACGACGAAUGUCGGAACCGCCAUAGUCGGACAGCAGGUGACUGCGCGGAUCAACUACGUCGGAGCCACGAAUAUGAUCACCGUCAGUGCCACCGCCGGCUCGAAGACGUUUGAGGUCAGUCUUAAGUACGAUUUGAGCCACUUUCUUCCUCAGCAAGUUCAGGUAGGGCUCUCCGCCGCCAGCGGACUAAACCAACCAUACGUCGCCAAACAUGAUAUUAUAUCAUGGUAUUUCACGGCCACCAUGGUGCAGACAAAUGCUGGCGCGUGGAGCAAGAAGGAGCUGGCCGGCAACAUUAUUCGUCAAUUUGUGUGAUUUUGAGAUGUGUGUGUGUCGUAAAUAAAUAAGGACUAAGCGAUCGAGUCUGCUCUCGUUAAGUCUAGAAAUAAGAUACUCGACCAUCUCUAUGUACGGACUAUGCAACAAUGCUUUUGGGUGUCGUUCUCGUUUUAUGAUCUUUGCAAGGUUAUCUAUGGAAGAUUUAUUAAGGACUUUUAUCGACCAGUUGGAAUACUGUAUAUGAAGCAAGUUAAUUCUUGUUAAUCCAACAAUAGUGAAUCCUACGCAACAAAGUAAUUCUCACACAGCCUGUGCCUUCAUCGUGAUUUAUUAGGAUCUCAAAAGGAUCGAUGUGCGACUAUUAGCACUAAUUGAAUGUGACUUCAAAGUAAAUAAUCAUCUAUAUAACUCAUUGUUGGUGGCAGACAAAACCCAUUAAGUGGGAGACAUCACUUUUCUGCUUUUACUUUUUGCUUUUCCUUUGUUGACUUCUUUGUCGUAGUUGUUAGGGGGUGUGUGGUCGAUUAUUCAUUCCUUGAGAAAAUUGAGACGAGAAAAAAGAGAGCAGAGAGAGCUGUGAGAGAAAAACUCUUGCAGAGAGAUUGGGGCGUGAUAUACACGAGAGAUUGUGAGGGUUUUUCCAGCGUGGGUUUGAGAGUGUACGAGAGUGAGAGGUUGAUCUCAUCUUGGGUGUAAUUCUCGAUUCAUUGUGUGACGAGUUCGCGGGUUGUGCGAAUCGUCGGAGUUCUUCAAUACUACGAUUGGUGUUGCUCCCAUGGAC
This 6726-nucleotide long non-coding RNA is filed under the name Salvia miltiorrhiza (redroot sage). RNAcentral describes it as "long non-coding RNA (SMIL_LNC000494)". Lineage: Eukaryota; Viridiplantae; Streptophyta; Magnoliopsida; Lamiales; Lamiaceae. The record is from RNAcentral.